ACCCCUAAGGCGAGGCCGAAAGGCGUAGUCGAUGGGAAACGGGUUAAUAUUCCCGUACUUGGUGUUACUGCGAAGGGGGGACGGAGAAGGCUAUGUUGGCCGGGCGACGGUUGUCCCGGUUUAAGCGUGUAGGUGUGUGUUCCAGGUAAAUCCGGUUCACUUUAACACUGAGGCGUGAUGACGAGGCACUACGGUGCUGAAGCAACAAAUGCCCUGCUUCCAGGAAAAGCCUCUAAGCAUCAGGUAACAUCAAAUCGUACCCCAAACCGACACAGGUGGUCAGGUAGAGAAUACCAAGGCGCUUGAGAGAACUCGGGUGAAGGAACUAGGCAAAAUGGUGCCGUAACUUCGGGAGAAGGCACGCUGACACGUAGGUGAAGUGAUUUACUCACGGAGCUGAAGUCAGUCGAAGAUACCAGCUGGCUGCAACUGUUUAUUAAAAACACAGCACUGUGCAAACACGAAAGUGGACGUAUACGGUGUGACGCCUGCCCGGUGCCGGAAGGUUAAUUGAUGGGGUCAGCGCAAGCGAAGCUCCUGAUCGAAGCCCCGGUAAACGGCGGCCGUAACUAUAACGGUCCUAAGGUAGCGAAAUUCCUUGUCGGGUAAGUUCCGACCUGCACGAAUGGCGUAAUGAUGGCCAGGCUGUCUCCACCCGAGACUCAGUGAAAUUGAACUCGCUGUGAAGAUGCAGUGUACCCGCGGCAAGACGGAAAGACCCCGUGAACCUUUACUAUAGCUUGACACUGAACAUUGAGCCUUGAUGUGUAGGAUAGGUGGGAGGCUUUGAAGUGUGGACGCCAGUCUGCAUGGAGCCGACCUUGAAAUACCACCCUUUAAUGUUUGAUGUUCUAACGUGGACCCGUAAUCCGGGUUGCGGACAGUGUCUGGUGGGUAGUUUGACUGGGGCGGUCUCCUCCUAAAGAGUAACGGAGGAGCACGAAGGUUGGCUAAUCCUGGUCGGACAUCAGGAGGUUAGUGCAAUGGCAUAAGCCAGCUUGACUGCGAGCGUGACGGCGCGAGCAGGUGCGAAAGCAGGUCAUAGUGAUCCGGUGGUUCUGAAUGGAAGGGCCAUCGCUCAACGGAUAAAAGGUACUCCGGGGAUAACAGGCUGAUACCGCCCAAGAGUUCAUAUCGACGGCGGUGUUUGGCACCUCGAUGUCGGCUCAUCACAUCCUGGGGCUGAAGUAGGUCCCAAGGGUAUGGCUGUUCGCCAUUUAAAGUGGUACGCGAGCUGGGUUUAGAACGUCGUGAGACAGUUCGGUCCCUAUCUGCCGUGGGCGCUGGAGAACUGAGGGGGGCUGCUCCUAGUACGAGAGGACCGGAGUGGACGCAUCACUGGUGUUCGGGUUGUCAUGCCAAUGGCACUGCCCGGUAGCUAAAUGCGGAAGAGAUAAGUGCUGAAAGCAUCUAAGCACGAAACUUGCCCCGAGAUGAGUUCUCCCUGAGACUUAGAGUCUCCUGAAGGAACGUUGAAGACGACGACGUUGAUAGGCCGGGUGUGUAAGCGCAGCGAUGCGUUGAGCUAACCGGUACUAAUGAACCGUGAGGCUUAACCUUACAACGCCGAAG
RNAcentral lists this ribosomal RNA (1572 nucleotides) under Salmonella enterica. RNAcentral describes it as "partial 23S ribosomal RNA". It matches the Rfam family "Bacterial large subunit ribosomal RNA", at positions 1387 to 2925 of the family's 2925-position model. Lineage: Bacteria; Pseudomonadati; Pseudomonadota; Gammaproteobacteria; Enterobacterales; Enterobacteriaceae. The record is from RNAcentral.